GGUCCUGAGGACUUAAUGCCUCAUCGGUUGUGCAAGGGAGCAGGAGGUUCGUGAGUCACGGUGCUGGAUGAGGCCGGUUCAAGUCAGCUGUUUGUUUCAGUUUCCCCAUUACUUUUGCUAAGGAAGUUUUCUAGCUUCUUACUAUCUUACCUCAUGAAGACUAAUUUUUAAAGAGCAGUUUAAGGGGCACAGCAAAAUCGAAGGAAGUGUUUGACCAUAUGCAAGAAUCUCUUUCUGGACUCUAUUUUCUUCCAUUUGUCCAAUAGCUGCCAAUACCUAUGGUCAUGAUUACCAUAGAUUUUUAACAUCUCCAAAUCAGCCCACCCUAGCAGAAUUUAGAAGGUGGAAGAAAUUAUCAAUGUUUUUGACUCCCACAAGAUACACAGUAUGAUCAGCGAUCAAUUGCAUCACUUCUUUUAAAGUCUGUUGGGGCUUGGUCAUUGCCAUCUGUCACCCAGUUCGCACACAGGCAGCAAAGCACACGGUGGUGUUGCACCUGUGAUUCCCAUCAAGAACCCUCACGACACUUCACAAAAAUGGAUAACUGAAAAGGCAGAAUUGGCCAAAAAAGAAGAAAGAGCAGCAAAAACUCAAAGUUGAUAAUGCUGAAAGUGAAAUUCAAAUAGGAUUCCCAGAACAAGUGACUGACCAUGAGGAUGUUGACAUUGCUGCCAUUCGAGAGACUGUAAGUAUGCAGCCAGGAAGCUUAGUGAGAGGACAUUCAUUGCCAUGAAGGAGGAAUGGCUUGUGAUGCAAAGGAUGAAGCUGUCUUCCUAAACUGAAACUGCAGACCCAUUAAACACUAACACCCCAUUCCGCCUUCCCUCAGCCCCUG
Phyllostomus hastatus (greater spear-nosed bat) is the source of this 835-nucleotide long non-coding RNA. RefSeq lists it as uncharacterized. The record is from RefSeq and is a predicted model, not a curated record. NCBI's taxonomy places the organism in Eukaryota, Metazoa, Chordata, Mammalia, Chiroptera, Phyllostomidae. The transcript is spliced from 3 exons.